RNAcentral lists this ribosomal RNA (452 nucleotides) under uncultured organism. Its description in RNAcentral is "partial 16S ribosomal RNA". It matches the Rfam family "Bacterial small subunit ribosomal RNA", at positions 332 to 800 of the family's 1533-position model. The record is from RNAcentral.
UACACUCCUGCGGGAGGCAGCAGUGGGGAAUAUUGGACAAUGGGCGCAAGCCUGAUCCAGCCAUGCCGCGUGAGUGAUGAAGGCCCUAGGGUUGUAAAGCUCUUUCACCGGUGAAGAUAAUGACGGUAACCGGAGAAGAAGCCCCGGCUAACUUCGUGCCAGCAGCCGCGGUAAUACGAAGGGGGCUAGCGUUGUUCGGAUUUACUGGGCGUAAAGCGCACGUAGGCGGACUAUUAAGUCAGGGGUGAAAUCCCGGGGCUCAACCCCGGAACUGCCUUUGAUACUGGUAGUCUUGAGUUCGAGAGAGGUGAGUGGAAUUCCGAGUGUAGAGGUGAAAUUCGUAGAUAUUCGGAGGAACACCAGUGGCGAAGGCGGCUCACUGGCUCGAUACUGACGCUGAGGUGCGAAAGCGUGGGGAGCAAACAGGAUUAGAUACCCUAGUAGUCCCAUGA